CUGGCAUUUCUCCCCAUGUUAUCCCUCCCUACCCACUGUCUCUCCCCAACCUCCCCCCCACUGCCUCCAGUGUGUGAUGCCCUUUUCCCUGAGUUCACAUGUUCUCAUUCUUCAAUACCCACCUAUGACUGAGAACAUUCAGUGUUUGGCUUUCUGUUCUUGUGUCAGUUUUCUGAGAAUGAUGGUUUCCAGACUCAUCCAAGUCACUACAAAGGACACGAACUUUUCAUUUUUUAUGACUGCAUAGUAUUCCAUGGUGUAUAUGUACCACAUUUUCUUUGUCCAUUCUAUCAUUGAUGGGCAUUUGGGUUGGUUCCAGGUCUUUGCUGUUGUACACGGGGCUGCAAUGAACAUACAGGUGCAUGUGUCUUUAUAGUAGAACAAUUUAUAGUUCUUUGGGCAUAUACCCAGUAAUGGGAUUGCUGAGUCAAAUGGAAUUUCUAUUUCUGGAUUCUUGAUGAAUUGCCACACUGUCUUCCACAAUGGUUGAACCAAUUUACACUCCCACCAACUGUGUAAGAGUGUUCCUAUUUCUCUACAUCCUCUCCAGCAUCUGUUGUCUCCAGAUUUUUUAAUGAUCGCCAUUCUAACUGGAGUGAGAUAUGGUUUUGAUUUGCAUUUCUUCUAAUGACCAGUGAUGAUGAGCAUUUUUUCAUAUGUUUAUUGGCCUCAUAUAUGUCUUCUUUUGAAAAGUGUUCAUAUCCUUUGCUCACUUUUGAAUGGGGUUGUUGGUUUUUUACUUGUAUAUCUGUUUUAGUUCUUUGUAGAUUCUGGAUAUUAGAUUUUAAAAGAACAGAUUUUUUGUUUUGUUGCUUUUCUUCAUUUUUUUUUUCUACUUUGUUUUUAUCUGCUAAUUGCUGGCAAUGAAAU
Molecule: long non-coding RNA, 870 nt
Filed under: Callithrix jacchus (white-tufted-ear marmoset)
Lineage: Eukaryota; Metazoa; Chordata; Mammalia; Primates; Cebidae
Description: lncRNA (ENSCJAG00000078760.1)
Source: RNAcentral